GACGAACGCUGGCGGCGUGCCUAAUACAUGCAAGUCGAACGAGAGCGACCGGUGCUUGCACUGGUCAAUCUAGUGGCGAACGGGUGAGUAACACGUGGGUAACCUGCCCAUCAGAGGGGGAUAACAUUCGGAAACGGAUGCUAAAACCGCAUAGGUCUUCGAACCGCAUGGUUUGAAGAGGAAAAGAGGCGCAAGCUUCUGCUGAUGGAUGGACCCGCGGUGCAUUAGCUAGUUGGUGAGGUAACGGCUCACCAAGGCCGUGAUGCAUAGCCGACCUGAGAGGGUGAUCGGCCACAUUGGGACUGAGACACGGCCCAAACUCCUACGGGAGGCAGCAGUAGGUAAUCUUCCGCAAUGGACGCAAGUCUGACGGAGCAACGCCGCGUGAGUGAAGAAGGUUUUCGGAUCGUAAAACUCUGUUGUUAGAGAAGAACAAGUGCUAGAGUAACUGUUAGCGCCUUGACGGUAUCUAACCAGAAAGCCACGGCUAACUACGUG
Molecule: ribosomal RNA, 498 nt
Filed under: uncultured bacterium
Lineage: Bacteria
Description: partial 16S ribosomal RNA
Rfam family: Bacterial small subunit ribosomal RNA
Source: RNAcentral